AGAAAAAUAGAAAAAAGAGAGAAAAAAUGAUUCGCAUAUAUGUAGGCAUACUCACGUAUACUAUACUCACUCACAUGUUGAAAGCACUUCGCUGGUCAAUUAUACUUAUUCCUUUUCCCUCCCUACUCAAUGCCAAUGAAAAGAGG
This 146-nucleotide non-coding RNA is filed under the name Palpitomonas bilix. The record is from RNAcentral.